Molecule: ribosomal RNA, 334 nt
Filed under: uncultured Lachnospiraceae bacterium
Lineage: Bacteria; Bacillati; Bacillota; Clostridia; Lachnospirales; Lachnospiraceae
Description: partial 16S ribosomal RNA
Source: RNAcentral
GGAGUUUGGGCCGUGUCUCAGUCCCAAUGUGGCCGGUCACCCUCUCAGGUCGGCUACUGAUCGUCGCUUUGGUAGGCCGUUACCCUGCCAACUGGCUAAUCAGACCGCGGGUCCAUCUUAUACCGGAAAAAACCUUUUUCACCCUGUAUCAUGCGAUACUGUGCGCUUAUGGGGUAUUAGCAGAAAUUUCUCUCUGUUAUCCCCCUGUAUAAGGCAGGUUACCCACGCGUUACUCACCCGUCCGCCACUAAGCAUAAAAAGUUCCGCCCGAGGGCCUCGCUUAAAUGUGCUCCGUUCGACUUGCCAUGUGUUAGGCACGCCGCCAGCGUUCAUC